UACGAAGGGGGGCUAGCGUUGCUCGGAAUCACUGGGCGUAAAGCGCACGUAGGCGGCUUCUUAAGUCAGGGGUGAAAUCCUGGAGCUCAACUCCAGAACUGCCUUUGAUACUGAGAAGCUUGAGUCCGGGAGAGGUGAGUGGAACUGCGAGUGUAGAGGUGAAAUUCGUAGAUAUUCGCAAGAACACCAGUGGCGAAGGCGGCUCACUGGCCCGGUACUGACGCUGAGGUGCGAAAAGCGUGGGGGAGCAAACAGG
RNAcentral lists this ribosomal RNA (256 nucleotides) under uncultured bacterium. RNAcentral describes it as "partial 16S ribosomal RNA". It matches the Rfam family "Bacterial small subunit ribosomal RNA", at positions 524 to 776 of the family's 1533-position model. The record is from RNAcentral.